This 2319-nucleotide long non-coding RNA is filed under the name Gossypium barbadense (sea-island cotton). RNAcentral's name for it is "long non-coding RNA (GBAR_LNC008617)". The record is from RNAcentral. Lineage: Eukaryota; Viridiplantae; Streptophyta; Magnoliopsida; Malvales; Malvaceae.
UGGGCUUGUGUUUUGAUUCUGGAAAGCUUAAUCCCGGUGGUGGUUGAUCCGGUGAUAGGAAAAUCAAGGAUCCUUGUUACGCCUAGUAUGAAAGAGCAGGCCAAAGAAAUCGCGGAGACAUGGAAAAAGAGCCUUGAAGAGAGAGGAGGGAUUGAGAAUGUGAAAACCCCUGAUGUUCAUACUUUUUUGCAGCAUUUGGUUACGUUUGGGAUUGUCAAGAAAGAGGAUCUGGAGCUUUAUAGGAAACUUGUCGUUGCUUCUGCUUGGAGAAAACAAAUGCCCAAACUCGCCGUUUCGCUUGGCCUCGGCGAUCAGAUGCCUGGUAUGAUUUUCUUGUUUUCUUACCUGGGAUUAAAUUACAGUUCUUUAUUUAUGUUUUCAUUAAUUCCUGGUGUUGCUUAUAAGAGGGGCUUGUUGUAUUAAAGGACUUAAAACUUUUUAAAUCUCAAGCACUGAAAUGUUUAAGUUUCACUGUGAUGUUGUGAUGGCGGCGGCAGAACUUUCUGAAUUAACAUGGGUGUUGUGAAUAUAAGAUUUUUAGGACAUUUAGUGAGCUAUGUUGCGUUUAGAGUGAGUUUCAUAUGCCGGUUUUUGUAUCCUUUGGUAGAUAGUUUUUUCUUAUAUUUGUUGGGUUUGAUAUGUAUGAACAUAUGUGAUCCACCUAAAGUGAAGAGUCUUGAGCAAUAGUUGACUAGCAUAGUUAAGUGCGUUAUAAUCUAGGAUGUUAAUAAGCUUUUGCUUGUUCUUUUAACAUGUAGCUGAAGCAUGUCCCUUUUUAUCUGUUAGAUUACAUGCUUUGAAGCUAGUUCGUGCUUGUCUAAUUUGCUCCUUGGUAAUUUGAUUGAUAUGAGAUGAGUGAAGCUAAGCUAAACGGUCAUGGGAUUGGAUAUGUAUAAUUUUUUUCAAGUGAGUGGUUCUGCUAGAUUGUUACAGAGAAAAAAAAUUUGGUCACUGGUGUUGGUUUUAAUCUCUGCAUCAUUAUUUGAUCAACAUGCGUAACGCUCCGUUUAAAAAGACUGUUUUUAGUGCAUUUCUUACCAUACGAAUUUGCAGUGAUUCAUAGGUUGAGUUUAUAAUGUCUUUAAUUAAUGUAUACAGACAUGAUUGAAGAAUUGAUCAGCAAGGGACAGCAGCUUGAUGCAGUUCAUUUUACUUAUGAAGUUGGCCUUGUGGACAAGUUCCCCCCUGUGCCCCUGCUGAAAUCUUUCUUGAGGGAUGCAAAGAAGGCUGCAUCUUCUAUUUUAGAUGAUCCCAAUAAUACUGGCCGGGCUGCGGUAUGCUCAUAUUUACUCAUACUGAUAGUUUGUCGCGUACCGAUGAUUUGUUUUACCCUUUAUUAUUUUUAUGAUUUUUGAUUAUACACUUUUUACUUAAUUGAAUGCUUGAUGCAAGGUUUGCCUCCUGGGGUUUGCUGUAAGCUGAUUGCUGAGUUCUUUUGUUUUCGUUCGCCUGUCUGCUGAAAUAAAUUAAAAUCUGAUGUUUUUAUAUAAUAAAGCAUGCCUAAUAUGGUUAAUGGUAUUGUCAUUUCAUAUUUCUCGUUGUCAGAGGGGAUUAGGGAUGUAAAAUAAUCACUGGAUUAGAUCUAAGGAAAGAGGCAUCUUUAAAUUGUCAGCGAUUCUAUUCAUCUUCUAUUGGUGCUAAAAUCCCAUAUAAAUGACUAUCAAUUAUUGGCAAAUAGGCUGAUGAGAUUGUCGGUCGCCUAUAGCUUUUUCUUAAAUUUUCUUUUUCAUUUGAUUUUCUUGGCCAAUAAUGUUUUCUUCAUUUCUAAUGGUUACAUUUCAAUUAAUUAGGUAAUCUUUCUUCUUAAUUUUUGCAGCAACUUGCUGCACGCAAAGAGCAAUCUGCACUUCGGGCUGUCAUCAAGUGCAUUGAAGAGUACAAACUCGAGGCUGAGUUUCCGCCUGAAAACCUCAAGAAACGCCUUGAGCAGCUAGAGAAGACCAAGACUGAAAAGAGAAAACCAGUUGUAGUCCCUGCUAACAAGCGAACGCGUGUAAAUAAUGGUGGUCCGAUGCCUCCUGCUAAAGCUGGCCGUUUGACGAAUGCAUAUGUCUCAUCUUUCCCGGCACCUCCUCCAUUUGUAAGGUCUCCCUCCCACACCCAGUACCCUGCUCCAGUCCCAGGAUACCCAUCCCCACCUCCCAUGUAUGGAAGCAGGAGCCCACCCACCAACCCCUAUGCUUACUCACCGGAAGCAGUCCCUCCUCCCCUUGCUGGUUCAUACCCUGGAGCUCCCAUGAAUUAUCCCGCAUACGGGGGCUACGGUAAUGGUUUGGCACCAGCAUAUCAGCAGGCUUACUACCGAUAGACAACGAUGAC